This 230-nucleotide long non-coding RNA is filed under the name Homo sapiens (human). RNAcentral's name for it is "HSALNT0274739". The record is from RNAcentral. Lineage: Eukaryota; Metazoa; Chordata; Mammalia; Primates; Hominidae.
CACAGAAGUGCUGGCCCAUGAACUCGAAGGCUUUCAAAGAAUCUCAUGGUUGAUGUAAAAAUCUCACGAGGCAAUCCAAGGCACCCUGCAGCUCAGCCAUGGGAGUUCACCUCCAACUCUGGGAAGGUGGAGGAAGGAGGCCUGGGGGAGGGGCUCCUCUUACCCGGAGUUGCAUGGGUGGAUUUCAGGUUGACGGGGGCGGGGCUGCAUUUUUAGGUGUUUCUACUGAU